RNAcentral lists this ribosomal RNA (468 nucleotides) under uncultured bacterium. Its description in RNAcentral is "partial 16S ribosomal RNA". It matches the Rfam family "Bacterial small subunit ribosomal RNA", at positions 28 to 523 of the family's 1533-position model. The record is from RNAcentral.
GAUGAACGCUGGCGGCGUGCCUAACACAUGCAAGUCGAGCGAUUCUCUUCGGAGAAGAGCGGCGGACGGGUGCGUAACGCGUGGGUAACCUGCCCCGUACACACGGAUAACAUACCGAGCGGUAUGCUAAUACGAGAUAAUAUGCUUUUAUCGCAUGGUAGAAGUAUCAAAGUUGUGGCGGUACAGGAUGGACCCGCGUCUGAUUAGCUGGCUGGUAAGGUAACGGCUUACCAAGGCGACGAUCAGUAGCCGACCUGAGAGGGUGAUCGGCCACAUUGGAACUGAGACACGGUCCAAACUCCUACGGGAGGCAGCAGUGGGGAGUAUUGCACAAUGGGCGAAAGCCUGAUGCAGCAACGCCGCGUGGGCGAUGAAGGCCUUCGGGUCGUAAAGCUCUGUCCUCAAGGAAGAUAAUGACGGUACUUGAGGAGGAAGCCCCGGCUAACUACGUGCCAGCCGCCGCAGUAA